UACGAGUGCCUCGAGCGUUGUCCGGAAUCAUUGGGCGUAAAGAGCGUGUAGGCGGCCAUUUAAGUCCUGCGUGAAAUCCUGCGGCUCAACCGCAGGCGGUCGUGGGAAACUGGAUGGCUAGAGUGCGGGAGAGGAGAGUGGAAUUCCUGGUGUAGCGGUGGAAUGCGCAGAUAUCAGGAAGAACACCCGUGGCGAAGGCGGCUCUCUGGAACGCAACUGACGCUGAGACGCGAAAGCGUGGGGAGCAAACAGG
RNAcentral lists this ribosomal RNA (253 nucleotides) under uncultured bacterium. Its description in RNAcentral is "partial 16S ribosomal RNA". It matches the Rfam family "Bacterial small subunit ribosomal RNA", at positions 524 to 776 of the family's 1533-position model. The record is from RNAcentral.